UACGAGGGGUGCAAGCGUUGCUCGGAAUUAUUGGGCGUAAAGGGUAGGUAGGUGGUCUCAUUUGUCUGGGGUGAAAGCCUUGAGCUUAACUCAAGAAGUGCCCCAGAAACGGUGAGACUCGAGUACUGGAGAGGGUCGUGGAAUUCCCGGUGUAGCGGUGAAAUGCGUAGAUAUUCGGAAGAACACCAGUGGCGAAGGCGGCUCACUGGACCGGUAUUGACGCUGAGGUGCGAAAGCGUGGGGAGCAAACAGG
Molecule: ribosomal RNA, 253 nt
Filed under: uncultured bacterium
Lineage: Bacteria
Description: partial 16S ribosomal RNA
Rfam family: Bacterial small subunit ribosomal RNA
Source: RNAcentral